RNAcentral lists this ribosomal RNA (479 nucleotides) under uncultured bacterium. RNAcentral's name for it is "bacterial SSU rRNA". It matches the Rfam family "Bacterial small subunit ribosomal RNA", at positions 223 to 694 of the family's 1533-position model. The record is from RNAcentral.
AGAUGGACCCGCGGCGCAUUAGCUAGUUGGUGGGGCAACGGCCUACCAAGGCGACGAUGCGUAGCCGACCUGAGAGGGUGAUCGGCCACAUUGGGACUGAGACACGGCCCAGACUCCUACGGGAGGCAGCAGUGGGGAAUAUUGCGCAAUGGGGGCAACCCUGACCGAGCAACGCCGCGUGAGUGAAGAAGGUUUUCGGAUCGUAAAGCUCUGUUGUAAGAGAAGAACGUGUGUGAGAGUGGAAAGUUCACACAGUGACGGUAACUUACCAGAAAGGGACGGCUAACUACGUGCCAGCAGCCGCGGUAAUACGUAGGUCCCGAGCGUUGUCCGGAUUUAUUGGGCGUAAAGCGAGCGCAGGCGGUUUAAUAAGUCUGAAGUUAAAGGCAGUGGCUUAACCAUUGUUCGCUUUGGAAACUGUUAGACUUGAGUGCAGAAGGGGAGAGUGGAAUUCCAUGUGUAGCGGUGAAAUGCGUAGA